RNAcentral lists this ribosomal RNA (657 nucleotides) under Triticum aestivum (bread wheat). RNAcentral's name for it is "partial small subunit ribosomal RNA". The record is from RNAcentral. Lineage: Eukaryota; Viridiplantae; Streptophyta; Magnoliopsida; Poales; Poaceae.
AUGAAGCUCCUCAGCUGGAACUGCCGGGGUUUGGGACAGCCUCGGACAGUUCAGGAGCUAGUGUGCUUGGUAAGCAUGCAUCGUCCUUCUAUCGUCUUCCUCUCAGAAACUAGGCAGAAUAAAGAGAGGGUACGUAGUCUUGGUUGGAGAGUAGGCUUUAAAAAUUGCAUGCUUCAUGAUGGAAAAGGGAAAGGGGCUGGAAUUGCUAUGUACUUGAAUGACUCCGUUGAAAUAAAGAAGUUAUCGGUUGGCCCGUGUUAUAUUGAUGUGCUAAUACGGAAUAACCCGAAUGAGAUGUGGUGGAGGGGAACCUUUGUGUAUGGGGAGCCGAGGGUACAAGACAGGCGACACAUGUGGAACCUCCUGAAAAGAAUUAAACACCACUCCAGCACCCCAUGGCUAGUAAUUGGGGAUUUUAACGAGACACUCUGGCAAAGUGAACAUUUUUCAGUCUCUAAGAGAUCAGAGAAGCAGAUGGCAGACUUUAGAGAAGUGUUGAGCUGGUGUAACUUGCACGAUCUGGGAUACCGGGGUCCAGGUUGGACUUUUGAUAACAAGCAGGAGGGAAGGAGAAAUGUAAAGGCAAGGCUUGACCGUGGUGUGGCCACACCAUGUUGGAGCAAUAGGUUUCAGAAUGCGCAGGUAGAGCACAUCUGA